UCUCCUUGAGGGGUCUCUGCCUCUAUUCAGGAUUUUUUCAUGACCAGGAGGCUGAGGCCCCUCGUAGGCGGC
RNAcentral lists this microRNA precursor (72 nucleotides) under Otolemur garnettii (small-eared galago). Its description in RNAcentral is "mir-665 microRNA precursor family". It matches the Rfam family "mir-665 microRNA precursor family". The record is from Rfam by way of RNAcentral. Lineage: Eukaryota; Metazoa; Chordata; Mammalia; Primates; Galagidae.